RNAcentral lists this ribosomal RNA (323 nucleotides) under uncultured eukaryote. RNAcentral's name for it is "partial 18S ribosomal RNA". It matches the Rfam family "Eukaryotic small subunit ribosomal RNA", at positions 1470 to 1796 of the family's 1831-position model. The record is from RNAcentral.
CCCUUAGAUGUUCUGGGCCGCACACGCGCUACACUGAAGGAGGCAGCGUGUACUCCUGGAUCGAAAGAUUUGGGUAACCCGCGAAUCUCCUUCGUGCUAGGGAUUGAGGUUUGCAAUUAUCCUUCAUGAACGAGGAAUUCCCAGUAAGUGCAAGUCAUAAGCUUGCGCUGACUACGUCCCUGCCCUUUGUACACACCGCCCGUCGCUACUACCGAUUGAAUGGUCCGGUGAAAUUCUCGGACGCGGACUUGCGAUGUUAAUUCGGAGCUUGACUGUGAAAGUUAAUUAAACCUUACCAUUUAGAGGAAGGUGAAGUCGUANCA